This 468-nucleotide ribosomal RNA is filed under the name uncultured bacterium. Its description in RNAcentral is "partial 16S ribosomal RNA". It matches the Rfam family "Bacterial small subunit ribosomal RNA", at positions 28 to 507 of the family's 1533-position model. The record is from RNAcentral.
GACGAACGCUGGCGGCGUGCUUAACACAUGCAAGUCGAACGGAAAGGCCCUGCUUUUGUGGGGUGCUCGAGUGGCGAACGGGUGAGUAACACGUGAGUAACCUGCCCUUGACUUUGGGAUAACUUCAGGAAACUGGGGCUAAUACCGGAUAGGAGCUCCUGCUGCAUGGUGGGGGUUGGAAAGUUUCGGCGGUUGGGGAUGGACUCGCGGCUUAUCAGCUUGUUGGUGGGGUAGUGGCUUACCAAGGCUUUGACGGGUAGCCGGCCUGAGAGGGUGGCCGGCCACAUUGGGACUGAGAUACGGCCCAGACGCCUACGGGAGGCAGCAGUGGGGAAUAUUACACAAUGGGCGGAAGCCUGAUGCAGCAACGCCGCGUGCGGGAUGACGGCCUUCGGGUUGUAAACCGCUUUCGCCUGUGACGAAGCGUGAGUGACGGUAAUGGGUAAAGAAGCACCGGCUAACUACGUG